Boleophthalmus pectinirostris (great blue-spotted mudskipper) is the source of this 486-nucleotide long non-coding RNA. RefSeq lists it as uncharacterized. The record is from RefSeq and is a predicted model, not a curated record. NCBI's taxonomy places the organism in Eukaryota, Metazoa, Chordata, Actinopteri, Gobiiformes, Gobiidae. The transcript has 3 exons.
UGCGAGGAGAACUGGAGCUUUGGUUAACUCGCUGAUGCCUGCUGACAGAUUACAGCACUUCCAACCUCAGGAAACCCACCACCGCCUGAGAACAAAGUCUGAGCUCCUGUGUGGCUCGUCUGGACAUUCUUUUUUAUCUAAGUAUUCUGUAAGACUACUCUCUUUGAACUGGAUUUGGAUAUUGUUACGCUUCUUUUUUUUAUGUCUUUACAGUUGAAUAGCCAGUAGGGGGAGUCACAAGCACAACCCUUCUGCCUCCCUGAUGUAUACUGUCCAAUACUAAAUUAUGAACUGCAUACAUGAAGAACAAAUGAGAUAACUGAGAAGAUCUUCCAGGAUAUUCCAGCUCUCCUCCGUCCAUUAUGUGUCCAGUCCCAGCCCACUGAACAUCCGCCAUAUUGUCAGGACCAGAAGGCACGUUACACCAAUGACUGCACUCACAUGUUUCUGAUUUAUCUGAGCAUGUGCAAGAUAAACUCUGAGCUU